AUUGAACGCUGGCGGCAGGCCUAACACAUGCAAGUCGAACGAGUGGCGGACGGGUGAGUAAUGUCUGGGAAACUUCCUGAUGGAGGGGGAUAACUUCUGGAAACGGUCGCUAAUACCGCAUACCAUCGGAUGUGCCCAGAUGGGAUUAGCUAGUAGGUGGGGUAAAGGCUCACCUAGGCGACGCGCCCUAGCUGGUCUGAGAGGAUGAGCAGCAACACUGGAACUGAGACACGGUCCAGACUCCUACGGGAGGCAGCAGUGGGGAAUAUUGCACAAUGGGCGCAAGCCUGAUGCAGCCAUGCCGCGUGUAUGAAGAAGGCCUUCGGGUUGUAAAGUACUUUCGGCGGAGAGGCGUUACCCGCAGAAGAAGCACCGGCUAACUCCGUGCCAGCAGCCGCGGUAAUAC
RNAcentral lists this ribosomal RNA (406 nucleotides) under uncultured bacterium. RNAcentral's name for it is "partial 16S ribosomal RNA". It matches the Rfam family "Bacterial small subunit ribosomal RNA", at positions 30 to 526 of the family's 1533-position model. The record is from RNAcentral.